This 478-nucleotide ribosomal RNA is filed under the name uncultured bacterium. RNAcentral describes it as "bacterial SSU rRNA". It matches the Rfam family "Bacterial small subunit ribosomal RNA", at positions 30 to 502 of the family's 1533-position model. The record is from RNAcentral.
AUUGAACGCUGGCGGCAUGCCUAACACAUGCAAGUCGAGCGGUAACAGAGAGUAGCUUGCUACUUUGCUGACGAGCGGCGGACGGGUGAGUAAUGCUUGGGAACAUGCCUUGAGGUGGGGGACAACAGUUGGAAACGACUGCUAAUACCGCAUAAUGUCUACGGACCAAAGGGGGCUUCGGCUCUCGCCUUUAGAUUGGCCCAAGUGGGAUUAGCUAGUUGGUGAGGUAAUGGCUCACCAAGGCGACGAUCCCUAGCUGGUUUGAGAGGAUGAUCAGCCACACUGGGACUGAGACACGGCCCAGACUCCUACGGGAGGCAGCAGUGGGGAAUAUUGCACAAUGGGCGCAAGCCUGAUGCAGCCAUGCCGCGUGUGUGAAGAAGGCCUUCGGGUUGUAAAGCACUUUCAGUCAGGAGGAAAGGUUAGUAGUUAAUACCUGCUAGCUGUGACGUUACUGACAGAAGAAGCACCGCUAACU